This 433-nucleotide ribosomal RNA is filed under the name uncultured bacterium. RNAcentral's name for it is "partial 16S ribosomal RNA". It matches the Rfam family "Bacterial small subunit ribosomal RNA", at positions 29 to 507 of the family's 1533-position model. The record is from RNAcentral.
AACGAACGCUGGCGGCAUGCCUAACACAUGCAAGUCGAACGAGACCUUCGGGUCUAGUGGCGCACGGGUGCGUAACGCGUGGGAACCUGCCCUUAGGUUCGGAAUAACUCCCCGAAAGGGGUGCUAAUACCGGAUAAUGUCUUCGGACCAAAGAUUUAUCGCCUUUGGAUGGGCCCGCGUUGGAUUAGCUAGUUGGUAGGGUAAAAGCCUACCAAGGCGACGAUCCAUAGCUGGUCUGAGAGGAUGAUCAGCCACACUGGGACUGAGACACGGCCCAGACUCCUACGGGUGGCAGCAGUGGGGAAUAUUGGACAAUGGGCGAAAGCCUGAUUCAGCAAUGCCGCGUGAGUGAUGAAGGCCUUAGGGUUGUAAAGCUCUUUUACCCGGGAUGAUAAUGACAGUACCGGGAGAAUAAGCUCCGGCUAACUCCGUG